This 253-nucleotide ribosomal RNA is filed under the name uncultured bacterium. RNAcentral describes it as "partial 16S ribosomal RNA". It matches the Rfam family "Bacterial small subunit ribosomal RNA", at positions 524 to 776 of the family's 1533-position model. The record is from RNAcentral.
UACGUAGGCAGCGAGCGUUGUUCGGAAUUACUGGGCGUAAAGAGCGUGUAGGCGGCCAGGUAGGUCUGCUGUGAAAACUCGAGGCUUAACCUCGAGCUGUCGGCGGAAACCAUCUGGCUAGAGUCCGGAAGAGGAGAAUGGAAUUCCCGGUGUAGCGGUGAAAUGCGCAGAUAUCGGGAAGAACACCCGUGGCGAAGGCGGUUCUCUGGGACGGUACUGACGCUGAGACGCGAAAGCGUGGGGAGCGAACAGG